Molecule: ribosomal RNA, 468 nt
Filed under: uncultured bacterium
Lineage: Bacteria
Description: partial 16S ribosomal RNA
Rfam family: Bacterial small subunit ribosomal RNA
Source: RNAcentral
GACGAACGCUGGCGGCGUGCUUAACACAUGCAAGUCGAACGGAAAGGCCCUGCUUUUGUGGGGUGCUCGAGUGGCGAACGGGUGAGUAACACGUGAGUAUCCUGCCCUUGACUUUGGGAUAACUUCAGGCAACUGGGGAUAAUACCGGAUAGGAGCUCCUGCUGCAUGGUGGGGGUUGGAAAGUUUCGGCGGUGGGGGAUGGACUCGCGGCUUAUCAGCUUGUGGGUGGGGUAGUGGCUUACCAAGUCAUCGACGGGUAGCCGGCCUGAGAGGGUGACCGGCCACAUGGGGACUGCGAGACGGACCAGACUCCUACGGGAGGCAGCAGUGGGGAAUAUUGUACAAUGGGCGGAAGCCUGAUGCAGCAGCGCCGCGUGCGGGAUGACGGCCUUCGGGUUGUAAACCGCUGUCGCCUGUGACGAAGCGGGAGUGACGGUAAUGGGUAAAGAAGCACCGGCUAACUACGUG